UUGUCUUCUCCGAAAACUAUGCUUCCUCACGGUGGUGCUUAGAUGAACUCGUUCACAUCUUUCACUGUAAAGAACAACAGCAGCAGAUGGUUUUUCCAGUCUUUUUCAAGGUGGAUCCAUCGGAUGUGAGAAACCAAAGAGAGAGUUUCGGUAAGGCACUUGCUGACCAUGAAAGCAAACUCAAAGAUAACAUGGACAAGGUGUUGAGAUGGAGAGAAACUCUUACAAAAGCAGCAAAUUUGUCUGGCUGGUCAUUCCUGGCCGACGGGUAUUUUUCUGAUCUCUAUGUACUUGCAAACCUAUCAUUCAAAUUCAUAAGCAUAAUAUCAAGGCUUUUUAGCCAAAAUAGUUUUUCUGAGAGCAUAAUUCUUUGUUUUGUUCUUAAGAUUUAAAAUCGAUAUAAGUGGUUUUUGAUAUUAUCCAUCAUCAAUCAUUUUGGUUAUUUUCUUGAAAAAAUACUCUAUUAAAUUGAGUGUAUUUUUGUCAAAUCAAUCACUCCACUUGAAUUUGUGGUUUCUUCAGUUUAGCUAAGAUUUCUUACAGAAUGAUCAAAAUGAUUGAUGUUGGACACUCUCAUGAACCACUUUUAUCGAUUUAAAUUUCAGUGAUCAAAAUGAAGAGUUAUAACAAUUUUAGCAACUAUUUUAGUUAAAAAGACUAACAUAAAUAUAUAAUAUUUGAGAAAUGUUAAGGAGACUCUCUUAAAGUAGAACUUUUCAUGAGCUCUCUCACACCUCAUAGUUUAGUGUUAGUUCCCUUGCCAACAUUAUAAAAUAUUGUAGCAAAAAUCAGGUGGCAACAAGUUCAUGGAGAGUCUCACUUUUGAAAAAUUAUCCUUAGCAUUUUUCAUAAUAUUUUGAUAUUAUUCCCUCACAAUAUUAUAGGAACACUUGUUUAAGUUAUUCAUUAUUAGUAUAUGAAGCAAACACAUAUUAGAGAAUAUGAUCCCACAUCGGUAAUAUGAUAAAAUAAUAUACAAUAAAUAUAUAAGAGUUUGCACUCUUAAUACUAGCGAGAAUUUUUGUGGUAAAAUCUAAUACAGAGUGAUAGGAGAAAUUGAGACAAUAUCGGUAAUGCUGAUGAUAAAUCAUGUUCGGCCUAUAAAAUUUAUCAACACAUAGCCAAACGUCAUUCAUCUAUACUUAAUAUAUAAUGCCAACAGCCAAUUUGAGGUCAUGGGCUUCACAAAAAAGAAUGGGAAACAAAUGACCCCCCCCCCCAAAAAAAGUUCAAAAGCAGCCGAAUGCAUAAAAUAGUGCAGGAGUAAUUUUGUCAUAAAAAAAUUAUUUAUUUUCUUUAUGACGUAGAAUAUCCAAAUGUUUCUCCUAAGAUGAUCUAAUAUUAUUAAUUUAGUCCAAUUGUUUAACUUUCUUUUCCUUGAGUAGAGUUGUCACCUGAAAUAUUGAUUACAUGGAACAUCCACGGAUUUCUUCUAGUUUAAUUAUAAUAAUAUUCUUUUUUAUGCUUUUAAACUUGUAGGCAUGAAUAUAAAUUUAUUCAAAAAAUUGUUGAAGAGAUUUAUGACCAAGUUUUCGAGAGUACCCAUCUGAAAGUGGUAAAGUACCCAGUUGGAAUAGAGUCACGUGUCAAACAAUCCAGUUCGGUUUUUUUGGAUCCUCCUGUCCUCGAUCGCAAGCAAUUAGCCCUCCAACGCCGUGAAGGACAAACCGAAGAUCAAAAGUGCCACCAGCACCAUUUACUCUCCAGUCUCGCCCUCCCAAACCGUUCCUCCGACGCCGCACCGCCCGCAACCACCGCCAAUCCUGAUCAAGACCGAGAUCGAGAUCGAGAUCGCAGUCCUUCAAAGGUGCUGCUUCCGCCCUCGCUUUCUUAGCUGGAAGAUGUGUAGGAUUCGCUUUCUUAUGUAUGCUGUGUUACUGAUUGGUUUGGCGAUGCAGGCACAAGAUUGCAGGCAGCUGGAAACUCAGAUAAGGGGGAAGGUGUUGUUGCAGAACGGGACGAAUCUGAUAGUUUUGGGAUUCAUCGUUUUGUUUAUCAUCAUCGUACUAUUUAUACUAGUGGUGAGAAGUAGAUACGCGCCCGCCUAGGCUAUGGAGGUCGCCCAAAAAAGAAUAAUACUUGAUUUCAUGAAUAAGAAUUCAUACUUAAAAUU
Molecule: long non-coding RNA, 2113 nt
Filed under: Malus domestica (apple)
Lineage: Eukaryota; Viridiplantae; Streptophyta; Magnoliopsida; Rosales; Rosaceae
Description: long non-coding RNA (MDOM_LNC015943)
Source: RNAcentral